UUUUUCCACUGGGCGAACUUGGCGCCCCGGCCUUCGGGCGGUUAUUUUUGGGUGCGGCUUUGCCUGCGGCCUAUUUUUGGCACACGGAGGCCCCUCGCAAAGUCUCGCGGCAUUCCGAGUCCGGCGGACGAAGUGGGCCAGCCCCACCCCCCAAGGCUAUAGCCCACCCGUUUUUGUGGCAUUUUUCCGUUGGACGAACUUGGCGCCCCGGCCUUCGGGCGGUUAUUUUUGGACGCGGCUUUGCCCGUGGCCUAUUUUUGGCACAAGGAGGCCCCUCGCAAAGUCUUGCGGCAUUCCGAGGCCGGCGGACGAAGUGGGCCAGCCCCACCCCCCAAGGCUAUAGCCCACCCGUUUUUGUGGCCUUUUUCCGCUGGACGAACAAGGCGCCCCGGCCUUCCGGCGGUUAUUAUUGGGUGCGGCUUUGCCCGCGGCCUAUUUUUGGCACAUGGAGGCCCCUCGCAAAGUCUCGCGGCAUUCCGAGUCGGGCGGACGAAGUGGGCCCGCCCCACACCCCAAGGCUAUAGCCCACCUGUUUUUGUGGCCUUUUUCCGCUCGACGAACUUGGCGCCCCGGCCUUCGGCGGUUAUUUUUGGGCGCGGCUUUGCCUGCGGCCUAUUUUUGGCACACGGAGGCCCCUCGCAAAGUCUCGCGGCAUUCCGAGUCCGGCAGACGAAGUGGGCCAGCCCCACCCCCCAAGGCUAUAGCCCACCCGUUUUUGUGGCUUUUUUCCGCCGGACGAACUUGGCGCCCCGGCCUUCGGGCGGUUAUUUUUGGAUGCGGCUUUGCCUGCGGNNNNNNNNNNNNNNNNNNNNNNNNNNNNNNNNNNNNNNNNNNNNNNNNNNNNNNNNNNNNNNNNNNNNNNNNNNNNNNNNNNNNNNNNNNNNNNNNNNNNGAGGCCCCUCGCAAAGUCUCGCGGCAUUCCGAGUCCGGCGGACGAAGUUGGCCAGCCCCACCCCCCAAGGCUAUAGCCCACCCGUUUUUGGGGCCUUUUUCCGCUGGACAAACUUGGCGCUCCGGCCUUCGGGUGGUUAUUUUUGGGCGCGGCUUUACCCGCAGCCUAUUUUUGGCACACGGAGGCCCCUCGCAAAGUCUCGCGGCAUUCCGAGUCCGGCGGACGAAGUUGGCCAGCCCCACCGCCCAAGGCUAUAGCCCACGCGUUUUUGUGGACUUUUUCCGGUGGACGAACUUGGCGCCCCGGCCUUUGGGCGGUUAUUUUUGGACGCGGCUUUUCCCGCGGCCUAUUUUUGGCACACGGAGGCCACUCGAAAAUUCUCGCGGCAUUCCGAGUCCGGCGGACGAAGGUGGCUAGCCCGAAACCCCAAGGCUAUAGCCCACCCGUUUUUGUGUCCUUUUUCCGCUGGACGAACUUGGCGCCCCGGCCUUCGGGCGGUUAUUUUUGGGCGCGGCUUUGCCCGCGGCCUAUUUUUGGCACACGGAGGCCCCUCGCAAAGUCUCGCGGCAUUCCGAGUCCGGCAGACGAAGUGGGCCAGCCCCACUCCCCAAGGCUAUAGCCCACCCGUUUUUGUGGCCUUUUUCCGCCGGACGAACUUGGCGUCCCGGCCUUCGGGCGGUUAUUUUUCGGCGCGGCUUUGCCCGCGGCCUAUUUUUGGCACACGGAGGCCCCUCGCAAAGUCUUACGGCAUUCCGAGUCCGGCGGACGAAGUGGGCCAGCCCCACCCCCCAAGGCUAUAGCCCACCCGUUUUUGUGGCCUUUUUCCGCUCGACGAACUUGGCGCUCCAGCCUUCGGGCGGUUAUUUUUGGGCGUGGCUGUGCAUGUGGCCUAUUUUUGGCACACGGAGGUGCCUCGCAAAGUAUCGCGCCAAUCCACGUCCGGCGGACGAAGUUGGUCAGCCCCACCCCCCAAGGCUAUAGCCAACCGUUUUUGUGGGCUUUUUCCGGUGGACGAACUUGGCGUCCCGGCCUUCGGGUGGUUAUUUUUGGGCGCUGCUGUGCCCGCGGCCUAUUUUUUGCAAUUGUAGGCACCUCGCAAAGUCUCGCGCCAUUCCGAGUCCGGCGGAUGAAGUUGGCCAGCCCCACCCCCCAAGGUUAUAGCCCACGCGUUUUUGGGGCAUUUUCCCGCUGGACGAACAUGGCGCCCCAACCUUCGGACGGUUAUUUUUGGGCGCGGCUGUGUCCGCGGCCUAUUUUUGGCACACAGAGGCGCCUCGCAAAGUCUCGCGCCAUUCCGAGUUAGGCGGACGAAGUUGGCCAGCCCCACCCCCCAAGGCUAUAGCCCACCCGUUUUUGUGGCCUUUUUCCGCUGGACGAACUUGGCGCCCCGGUCUUCGGGCGGUUAAUACGGGCGCAGGCUAGCCUGCAGCGUAUUUUAGCACACGGAGGCACCUCGCAAAGUCUCGCGCCAUUACGAGUCCGGCAGACGAAGUCGGCCAGCCGCACCCCCCAAGGCUAUAGCCCACCCGUUUUUGUGGCCUUUUUUCCGCUGCACGAACUUGGCGCCCCGGCCUUCGGGCUGUUAUUUUUGGCCACGGCUGUGUCCGCGGCCUAUUUUUGGCACACGGAGGCACCUCGCAAAGUCUCGCGCCAUUCCGAGUCCGGCGGACGAAGUUCGCCAGCCCCACCCCCCAAUGCUAUAGCCCACCCGUUUUUGUGGCCUUUUUGCGCUGGACGAACUUGGCGCCCCGGCCUUCGGGCGGUGAUUUUUGGGUGCGGCUGUGCCCGCAGCCUAUUUUUGGCACACGGAGGCACCUCGCAAAGUCUCGCGCCAUUCCGAGUCCGGCGGACGAAGUACGCCAGCCCCACCCCCCAAUGCUAUAGCCCAACCGUUUUUGU
This 2791-nucleotide long non-coding RNA is filed under the name Citrus x clementina. RNAcentral's name for it is "Citrus clementina (C. clementina) long non-coding RNA (CCLE_LNC005127)". The record is from RNAcentral. Lineage: Eukaryota; Viridiplantae; Streptophyta; Magnoliopsida; Sapindales; Rutaceae.